ACAUGCAAGUCGCACGAGAACGCUUCAGCUUGCUGAAGCUAGUAAAGUGGCGAACGGGUGAGUAAUACGAGGGUAAUCUACCCUUAAAUUAGGGAUAACCUUGCGAAAGCGAAGCUAAUACCUGAUAAGACUACGAUCUUCUAGGAGAUAGUAGGAAAAGAUGGCCUCUGUUUCAUGCUAUUGUUUAAGGAUGAGCCCUUGCACUAUUAGCUUGUUGGUGAGGUAAUGGCCCACCAAGGCUACGAUGGUUAGCUGGUCUGAGAGGAUGACCAGCCACACUGGAGCUGAGACACGGUCCAGACUCCUACGGGAGGCAGCAGUGAGGAAUAUUGCGCAAUGGGGGGAAACCCUGACGCAGUGACGCCGCGUGAGUGAUGAAGGCUUUCGAGUCGUAAAGCUCUGUUAGGUGGAAAGAAAUAUUCCAGUGCCAAUACCACUGGGAUUUGACGGUACCACCAGAGGAAGCACCGGCUAACUCCGUG
RNAcentral lists this ribosomal RNA (482 nucleotides) under uncultured bacterium. RNAcentral describes it as "bacterial SSU rRNA". It matches the Rfam family "Bacterial small subunit ribosomal RNA", at positions 53 to 507 of the family's 1533-position model. The record is from RNAcentral.